Long non-coding RNA from Carassius carassius (crucian carp), 1198 nucleotides. RefSeq lists it as uncharacterized. The transcript is spliced from 3 exons. NCBI's taxonomy places the organism in Eukaryota, Metazoa, Chordata, Actinopteri, Cypriniformes, Cyprinidae. The record is from RefSeq and is a predicted model, not a curated record.
UUAUGGAAUAUUGAAAUUAUUGUUAGUUAUUGUUUAGGUAAACAUGAAGAAUAGCAAACAAAAUAGUGUGGUUGAUAGAAUUCAAUUAUUGUGAUUGACCACAGCAUGGACAAAAGAACAUUUUAAACCUUAGCACUCUCUUGGGACCCCUGUUACAGACUUAGUAAGAUAAUGGAGAACGAUGUUACAUUUGUGAACUGUGCAAUGUUUAAAUAUGAACUAUACCAGAGUGCUUCAGGUUUAUUCCACGGUUCAAAGAAUUUAUACAUUUAAGUAUAUCUACGCCAUGCAAAUGACUUAUUUCUUUUUUAGUAAGUAGAAGUGAUUGAACCGCUUGAAGAUCUUGACUCACUUGGUGGCAUGCAGCAUACUGCGUCGUGUGGGCAGCUGAUCUGGGUCACUUUGUCUGCACAGAUACUCUGCUGUGGACCGGGCAGGGAACUCUGUCUCGCACACAUACCCGAAGUCCCGUGCGAGAUGAACCGCCUCACCUGAGAAGAGAGCGUGAAGAUUGAAAAAAUGGAACUUGAAUAUGCUGACUCAAAGCUCGAGUACCUUCUACCAGCGCUGUGAGGAGUGUGACGUUGGCUGCCUUUCGCCGACCGGCAGGCAGGUUGAGGCCGAUCUUCUCCAGACGUUCUCGCAGACAGCGGCCCCCGUUUUUUGACUUUGCUCUGAAGGAGAAAAGAUAGAAAAUAUUAACACCUCCGAUUCCUCCAAGACAUCUGAUGAUGUUCUUCCUCCAUCCCUUCUAUUCACCUGCGCAGGACUCCUCCCAGCAGUGAGGCGUUGAGGCACUCAGGUGGAGCCAGGCGUCUCUGGACUUCUCCAACUGUGACCUUGUACUUAGAGGUGGAGCUGAGGAGCGACAAGCGGCCCGGGACAGAGCAGAAAACCUCUGCAGGGUUGGACACACAUCCCAAACCCAGGCCUUCUUUAGUGAGGGACAAGGCAGAGACCGCUGAGCCAUUUAGCUUUGAUGGGACCGGAACUGUAAGAAGAAACAGAAAGCAGUUUAGGGUUUGUGUGCAAGAAUUACCACAGAGGUCACCCCCUCUUCUUUAUAUGCAUCAGAGGUACAGACUCUCACCUUUCUUGAUAACAGAAUGGUCCAGGAUCCCCAAAGCAGAUGCCUCCUCCAUACCCUGUUAAAACCGAACAGCACUAUUACUUCACUUAAUUUAAACUUGCUUGAUGG